This 497-nucleotide ribosomal RNA is filed under the name uncultured bacterium. RNAcentral's name for it is "partial 16S ribosomal RNA". It matches the Rfam family "Bacterial small subunit ribosomal RNA", at positions 28 to 507 of the family's 1533-position model. The record is from RNAcentral.
GAUGAACGCUGGCGGCGUGCCUAAUACAUGCAAGUCGAGCGAACAGACGAGGAGCUUGCUCCUCUGACGUUAGCGGCGGACGGGUGAGUAACACGUGGAUAACCUACCUAUAAGACUGGGAUAACUUCGGGAAACCGGAGCUAAUACCGGAUAAUAUAUUGAACCGCAUGGUUCAAUAGUGAAAGACGGUUUUGCUGUCACUUAUAGAUGGAUCCGCGCCGCAUUAGCUAGUUGGUAAGGUAACGGCUUACCAAGGCAACGAUGGGUAGCCGACCUGAGAGGGUGAUCCGACACACUGGAACUGAGACACGGUCCAGACUCCUACGGGAGGCAGCGGUAGGGAAUCUUCCGCAAUGGGCGAAAGCCUGACGGAGCAACGCCGCGUGAGUGAUGAAGGUCUUCGGAUCGUAAAACUCUGUUAUUAGGGAAGAACAAAUGUGUAAGUAACUAUGCACGUCUUGACGGUACCUAAUCAGAAAGCCACGGCUAACUACGUG